CUACCCGGGUAUCUAAUCCUGUUUGCUCCCCACGCUUUCGUGCAUGAGCGUCAGUAUUGGCCCAGGGGGCUGCCUUCGCCAUCGGUGUUCCUCCACAUCUCUACGCAUUUCACUGCUACACGUGGAAUUCCACCCCCCUCUGCCAAACUCUAGCCUCGCAGUCACAAACGCAGUUCCCAGGUUGAGCCCGGGGAUUUCACGUCUGUCUUACGAAACCGCCUGCGCACGCUUUACGCCCAGUAAUUCCGAUUAACGCUCGCACCCUACGUAUUACCGCGGCUGCUGGCAC
This 289-nucleotide ribosomal RNA is filed under the name uncultured Rhodocyclaceae bacterium. RNAcentral describes it as "partial 16S ribosomal RNA". The record is from RNAcentral. Lineage: Bacteria; Pseudomonadati; Pseudomonadota; Betaproteobacteria; Rhodocyclales; Rhodocyclaceae.